RNAcentral lists this long non-coding RNA (847 nucleotides) under Homo sapiens (human). RNAcentral describes it as "cancer susceptibility 9". Lineage: Eukaryota; Metazoa; Chordata; Mammalia; Primates; Hominidae. The record is from RNAcentral.
AUUCUAGAAUGUCAUAGUGUUGGAAUCAUACAAAUGUGAUUUUGAAGAAAGGAGGAAAGAUGUGAAAAGUGAUUGGUCAGCCACAUUCAUGGUGUUGAGAAAAGAAUUUGCUUUUCUGGAACAUAGCCUGUGAUAGCAGAACAACACCUGGCAAGAAACAGGUUAUGUUUGGCUGGAGAGUCAUUGGCACUAUCAAGAAAUAUUAAAGUGUAGAUUUGAGAGAGGAGGAGAAAGACCCAAGCAAAAUUGAAAACCAGGUGGGACCCAGACAGCAGCAAAGCAAUGGAAGCAUGUAUUUUGGUCAAUAUAGAGUUAAUACACAAUUUUGCCCCUCUUCUUCUGAUCAUGGGACUCAUAUUACCAGUCUUCACAUUUCCUUUAAAUUCAGGAAUCAGGAAGAAUUUCCAGAGUUUGCAGAUGGACACAUUUGCUGCUUCCAUUCUAAACAUAAGUUAGAAGAACCUUUCAACUGGAUUCCAACUUUAAUAUGUCACAAACAUAAAAAAGAAAGCUAUUUCCUGGACUUUUCUUCAUUAGAAAUUAAUAGAUUGUCAAUUGGCAUAGGGAAAAGAUAAUCAACAGAUGCCAACCCCAAGUUAACAGAAAUGCUAAAAUUAUAAGACAAAGACUUCAAAAUAGCUAUUUUAAUUUUGCCUAGUGAGGUAAAUGCAAACAUGCUCACUAUGAAUGAAAACAGGUAAUCUCAGCAGUCAUGUAAACUAUAAAAAUAAGCAAAUAUAAAUUUUAGAAUUAAAACACAAUAUCUAAAAAUAAAUUCACCUGAUAUUCUCAAUAGAAAAAAUGGUAAUGCAGAGAAAAAUGUAUGAAAAUAUGGCAAUUUGAAGAA